This is a long non-coding RNA of Canis lupus familiaris (dog), 10663 nucleotides long. RefSeq lists it as uncharacterized. The transcript is spliced from 8 exons. The record is from RefSeq and is a predicted model, not a curated record. Lineage: Eukaryota; Metazoa; Chordata; Mammalia; Carnivora; Canidae.
AAAAUUGGACAGGUCAUCUCCUCUGGCAUUCAGCUGGAAGCUGUAGCAAUGGGUUUCUUCAGAUGUUGGCUCAUGAGUUCCCUGGCACGAGAUACUUGGAUGUGUUCGUAACAUGAGUUACAGACGAGAACUGGGUCAUAGAGUUGUUGAUCAGGAAUGGGCAACUUCAGGUGGCAGCAGCCAGCACAAAACACAUUCCCACAAUUUCUGCCAAAGCACAAAGAAGAGUUCAUCAGAAAUGCCUGUGUACUGAGAAGAAAUAACACUUGCAAAGGCCUUACAUGAAUAAUAAAGAGAAAAGUUGGACGAAAACAAAAAAAUUAUCCUGAUAAAGAUAUAUCCGUUUUCAGAUUAACUCAGUUUAGCUUACAUACGUGUAUGUCACUGCUUUAUGAGCCAUACAGAAUCAUACAGAACAUCUUACCUGCAGUGGUGUCUUCGUUUGGCCAACCAGAAUUCACAGUCACAGUUAUAGCAAUGUGAUGCCAUAUGGUCUGGAACCCAGCGAGUCACCUAACAGAAGGCACAAGGAAAAAUUCCAGGUCCUUGUCAACCAAGUGGAAGCGCAACACUGCAGCAAGGAAAGCAUCCCAGGAGACAUCAACAAGAUCUGUCUUUCUACUUGGCCACUACUUGUCUAAAAAGACAUUCAUCUAGGAGAGAGCUUCAUCUAUAGCGUGCCACUCGUCUCUGAGAAAUAUGAGGACUCGAUGCUUCAUGUAAGUAUGCAUUCGCCUGCACAUACCUCAGUCUCUUUCUUAUCAACAGGUUCCCAGCUUGCUUCAGAAAGGCAGUCCUCACUGUGAUCAGAGCCAAAAUCUUCAAUAUCACUGCCAUCUGACUCCUUCAAACAUGUCUGAAGAAAAGGCAAAGAUCUCAGCACCAUCUUCACCAUCACUAACAUUUACUGUUUACUGUGCAUCAGUCCAUAGGGGGCUCUGCUGGAGGGGCACAGCAGUGACGGAUAUCCAGCCUCAUCUGAAGCUCACGCACUUGUCGACGUAGCUGCUCCACCUCUUGCUUGUACCCUGCUUCAAUUUGCCGUAAUCUAUGCUGGAUCACAUCCGUGGGAAAGGGGAGUCCAUCAUCAUCCAGGUCUCCAAGCAGCACCUACAGGACAAGACUUACCAUGUCUGAGCCUGGUGUGUAGAGGAAGUUAUGAAAGUUCUUAUUGCCAGCUCGCAGGAGAGCCCACACAGAGCAGUUCUCUGUGUUCUUUAGGUAGGACAAACCAAAGAAACUCAGUGUACUGUGGCUAUUCCAAAGUGCUGGCUGAGAAGCAGAAGAAGUGCUCUUAGAACUGGCCCACUGCAACAGGCCCUCAGGUCUCCUGUACCUCCACACUUCCCAUCUCCCUAUCUCCUCUUGUAAGAACUAGAAGAACUGCGUGAAGACAAGACGAGUGAAGAUGGAACUGGGGGCAGUUGCUGUUGAUGUGGGAGACUCUCCAGACAUUCUGCAGAUCAAAGCCCAUCCUCGUGAGCUCAGCCUCCUGCCGACAUCGUAUGUGCUCUCCUGCAACACAGUCCCCAUGCCUGCCUGUCAGCAUCCAAGUGCACCAUGUCCAUGGGUGGAAGAGGGUUAAGAACCAAGAGAGAUGAAGUCUCCCAAAUAAAACAGCCUGGCCUUACCUGGCUGACACAGGUGGGUAUGCUGGUCCUCCUCAGUCAGGCCCAGGCACCAGGCAUGGUAGGCGAAGGCAAAGAGGUCUUCAGGCUUGGCAGGUCUUGCCGUGGCCCGGCUUAGCCGUGAGAGCCACUCUUGGCACUGCUUGAAGGUAGAGAAGUGGCACCUGCCAGGCAAGAAGCCACAGAGUGAGACAAGAGGCAGGUUUCCAUUGGGGCCAUGAGGGUCAAAAACAAGGCCACAAGAAGGCUGCGGGGAGAGGCUUGCUUUAAAACAGGAGGUAAGAAAAAAUAAUAAUAAAAAAUAAAUAAAUAAAACAGGAGGUAAGGCAUGGAGUCCCUGGGGAGGGCCAGGGACACUGGCCAACACCCAAGAGAACUUACCUUUGGACAACUGUUUUCCCAAGAACUCUAGUCCUUGGGACAUACUUGUCCCUUCUAAAGGGGCACUACCAUUUCUUAUAUCAGAUCUAAACUCUGCUACACAUCCCUGAAUGUCUGCUACUCCAUGUUUUCUCAUGACUCCUGCUUCAGGCAGGAAGUCCUUUUCACACCAUUCCGGACUCCCUAUUUUUUCACUCCACUUGAUAACGCCUCCUCUGGGCCAAACCACAUCCUACUGAUACUCUGAACCGCCUCUUCCUUGAAGCCUUCCCAGCCCACUCCAUUUUACAGACCCCUUCCUCCCUGAUUCUUAAUAUGCUUAGAGCAUUAAACUAAGUUUUUCCAUAGCAAAUUGUCACUGUUGAAUCUUCCUUUAGCAACCAGACCUCAACCUCCUUGAAGGGAAGACCAGUGCGAUUCUCCUUCUGAAUCCCUACAGACCCAAGUACAUGACAGACUCUAAGGUGGACACUCUUUUAAUGUUCUUUGGAGUCAUUCCAGACUCUUCUUUCUCUCAUAUCCAAUCUGUCAGCAAAUCCUGUCAUCUCUACCUUCAAAAAUCUAAACACUUCCACCAAUCUGAACCCUAGCCAGGCCACCGUGUUCUCUCACUUGGCUAACUACAAUAGCUUCUUAACUAUUCCUUCUGCUUUUGCCCUUGUCUUUGCGCCUGAACCCCUUGUAUCUAUUCUCAAUAUAGCAGCCAGAGGGAUUCUAUAAAACAUUAAUCAGAUCAUAUCUCUCCUUUGCUGAAAACCCUGCAGUGGUUUCUCAUUUCCCUCAAAGUAAAAUCCUGUCAUUAUGACACCCUGACAUCCCCCUUACCUCUCAGAUCUUAUAACCUACCUGCACUCCACUCCAGCUACACUAGCCACUUUGCUAUUCUUCUAAUACACUAGGCAUAACACCUACCUCAGGGCCUUUGCACUCACUAUUCUUUCUGUCUGGCACCCUCUUCACUCAAAUACCACAUGGUCACUUCAGGUCUUGACUCAAAUGUCAGUGCAAUCUUCUCUGAUACUAUUGUUUAGAGCUACAACCUUUACCCCCAUAGCACUCCAUAUCCCCCUUCCUGCUUUAUUUUUCACCUUUACACUUACUAUCAUUUAACAUAUUUUACUCAUUAUUUACUGCUGCCAUCUACCCAUUGGAAUAUAAGCUCCAUGAAGACAGGAAAUUUUUCUAUUAGUUCUUGCUGUAUCCCCAGUGCCUAUAACAGUCUGCCAUAGAGUAGACUGCUCAAUAAAUGUUAAGUGAAUUAAUAAAUGAACCAACAAUAAUGUGAGUGCUCUAUGCCAAUCCUAGGUGCAUUCACAUUCAUUAUCCAAUUUAAGCCCUAUGAUAACUCCACGAGCUCUGCUUUAUCCGCAUUUACUCAGGUCAAGAUACUGUGGGUUAGUAAAAUUGACCUCCCAACCUAGACAGGGCUUCUAUAUUUUCUCCCAAAUUGGGAAAGGGAAGCAGUAUUUUUUCUUCUUGCUCCAGAAAAACCCUAUAUCAGAGAGGUCCGGGUAAGACUAGGGCCAGAGGAUGUGAGUCCAUCCACACUAUUCUCACCUCACCACUUUGGAGUCCUUGCAGGCAAUGUGCAACUGGAACAUAUCACGGCUCUCGACGCUGUCAAUCAUCCGGAGGGGGACCUUCAGAGGAAAGGCAAACUAAAGCUCAGAUCCCCACUCUCAUCACUCAUGCCCACCUCAGCCUAGAUGCUGAUGCAGCAAUAUGAGGAAGGAAACCAACAUUUACUGAGGGCCAGUUAAGCGCCUGAUAACUGUGCUGGGUCCUCUACAUAUGCGACCUUAAAUAAUAAUCAUGAGAAACCUGCAGAGCAGAUAUUUUCACACCAAAUUAUGAGGGAGGAAAUAGAGCCUCAGUUGGGUGACCGAACCAAGGUCACACAGUUGGGAACUGGCACUCUUCCAACAAUGCCGCUAUACCCCUUACAAGGGUGAGCAACAGAGUGAGGGAAAGAGAGAAGAGGAGAAGGAAGAAUAAGAGAGGCAGAAAGACCUAUAGCUAGGAGAAGGAAGCAGGAAAAUGAAAAGUUAUUGAAAAGAAGGGCACCCCAACUUUUUGGAGACAUGAUCAAGUCCAGCACUGGAGCACUCACACUUGUGAACCAGGCAGGGAUUCUGCCUUGGGUGUGGGAGAACAAGACGGGAACUCACGUUGAUGACAGAAUCUUUGAACUUGAUAUGCAGCCGGUAGUUGGAGAUGGCAAUUAGGGCAUCGGCUGCCCGGCCCAGGAACUCCACUCCCUCACCCUGCAGCACUGCAAAGGGCACCUGUCGAGGGGCAGAGGGACCUUCAGUCCAGAAAUCGGACACUGGUCUUUGCCAGCUUGGUCGCUCCACACUCCUGAAAGGGGAGUUCUCUGAGUGUUUUUAUUCCAAGGCCCCCACCCAACCCUACUCCGUCAGCUCCAUCUUCCCCUUGUUUCACAUCCUCUGAUGUCUGGGUAAGAACAUCUUUCUUGGAGAAUAAUUUUUUUAGGCUGAGAAAGAGAAAACUAAAACUAUGGAGCUAUGCAAAAACAAAACCCGAAACCCAAGAGUAGGGUAUAGAGGGGGUACGGUAGAGGGCCAAGGAAUAAGGAGCAGUGAGGCUCAAAGUAUCACCAAGAGUCACAGAAGGAACUGGUUGGAACCCCAUGCUUCGUAUGCCUGGAAACUUUCAGAAACCAGGGCUUUGGGGGACAAGGGGAUAUAGGAGAAAACCUGACUUUGUAUUAAGCAUCUACUAUGAGCCAGACAUGUUUCAAACAUUACAUCACUAAAAUCUUUCAACUCCCCAAGAAUUAAGCUUUAUCCUUUUUUGCUGGUGAAAGGUCAGGCACAGAAAGAAAAUAUACAAUUUACCUAAGCUAUUUAAGCGGUGAUGCGAGGAUUCAAAAUUAGAGUAGGCUAACAAGGAAGCCCAUGGUCUUUUUGGAGUGUCGCAGAGGAGAAAAAGGAAAGCGGCCACCAGUUGGUGGGGACCAAGACCAGGAGGCUUUCUAGGACAAGACCAGAACCACAUCCCCACAUGCCUAUGGAAGGAAGGAGAGAGUCCUCUCACCAACUGAAUUCCUUAACCUGCACAAGCGACACAUGAAGAAACGGAAAAGAUACAGCCAGAGCAAGGGCCUGGUAUGGGCCAGGGCCUGCAACUCUCCACUCUCUUUUUCUCUCACUGCUUCCUCCUCCUAGUUCUCGGGGGUUAAGUAAGGAGUUCCCUGAAUUCACCUGAGGUGACAGAAUGGUAUUUCAGAAGGUGGACAGAAUCAUUAUCCCCCUCAUUCCCAUCCCCUGUACCAACCCAGUUGAUAUUCUGGGCACCUUGAGGCUGCUAUCCUGCUAUAUAUCCAGUGAGGUAUUGAGUGCAGUAGCUUAAAAGAAGCGGUAUCUUAGAGCUGGAGAAGCCUCACUGUUUUGGUGGAGUCACUCCUGAUACAGCACCAACAACAUUCAAGAAGCCCACUGGGAAGUAGGAAAAUCUUGAGAUAAAGGAGGCCUGGUUUUCCAGACCAGAGCAGAGAGCUUCCACCAGGGACCCCCCAAAAAAAGCAAGAGAAGGGCCAUUAUGAAAGGUUAAGAGAGCCAGUGGGAGUAUCAGGAAGGUAUGGCAUACAUAGCACGUGCAAGAAAAGACUUCCAGAGGCUUCCUGUCCCAAUGCUGUAUACUGGUUGGUGUUUUGCAAUCUAAAGAAACCCUAAUUUAUUUCCAGGACAGAUGAACUUAUUUAGAGGCUGAACAGAGUAGCAUGGAGCUCAAGGUCCAGGAGGGGCAGGGCAGCUUCACAGAGAAAGAAAGAUUACAGAAAUCACAAGGGUCUGAAGAAAGAGAAUACUCACCAUUCUACUGUGGUGAGGGUCCUGGCUGCCUGCUUCUUACUAUAAGAAAACAGAGAAACAUAAGAUUAAAGAGCACCAUUAACAUUACCUUAGAAUCAGCAAAGGACACACAUCUACUCCUAACCUCUACAGAGAAUUUCACAGAGAAUCCAGCCUCUCCACAAGUCCCCAUGCCAGACAGAGGCAAUGUGAGCUACAUGGGAAGAAGGCAACAAGUAAUUCUGCAGGGCAUGGAGUCGGCCACAAAGUUCUGGGGCAGGAAUGAGUGUCAUCCAAGAUUAUUCAGAACUCAAAGAGUCCUGAUUUCCAGACCAGAAAGAGAAGAACACUCCAAACACUGUUUUUUUGGGGAAAGCAAGACUGCCAACUCUGAAAAGAGAGGCUGCCCAACCAGGACUUACUUCUGGCCUUGGAGGGACAUGAAUCCACAGGAAUGCUCUGCCAGCCUCUAAGUCUGGGAGUAGCACCCACCUGACCUGUUUACUGGGGGCAGAGUCCAGAGCAGAGGACAAGAGGGAGGGAACCACAACCUGUGAGCAGAAUGCCUUUGGGCAGCAGGACUGAAUAGGUCCUGUUGAACGUAUAUGACACCAAGUGGGAAGCAGGUAUGUGGGAGGAGGCCACACUACAGUGACAGUAUCAGGCCAGCCCAGGCCUCAGAACAAUACCUGUCAGUUGGGCCCAAGCAACAGAAAUUCAGGAUAGGCCUCCUUGGCCCACUUAGGAAGCCAGGCCCAGGUUUUACUGACACUUUCCCUCAUGCCCGCUAUCCGAGCUCAGGAACGGUCCAGCAGCGCCCUGCAGAAGGCUGCGGGGAUAAAAGCUUCCAUCUGUGGUCCUGCCGGCCUUCCUGCCUUCCUGAUCACAGCCCACCCUUCCUCGCGGGGGAGCCAGCAAAAAGCAGACCAAAGUUUUGGUUUCGCUGCGACCAUCUCGUCCCAAACCCGGAGAGAAAGGACCCCGCAGGCUGAGAAGGAGGGAGGCCUGGGCGCGAGGCUGUGUCUUCGGUCUUCGAUCUUCGACUGGAGGCGGGAGGGCGUCCUCUCUUCUGCGUCGUGACGGGUUCUUCCAACCCUUACUUCGCAUCAGCGAACCGACCCUGCUGUCCUUCAGGACCUGCGUGGUGCCGUCAGCCCUAAUCUGGGCCUCAGAUUACCACUAGCCAGCUGCCACCUCUUAGUCGGUAAAGAGAGUGGGAACAGGACUCCGCUCUUCGCUCCUCCCUUCCUCUCUCCCCUCUGGGGAACCAGAGCGGGCAGCAUGGCGGACGGUGGCCGCUGGAGGUCGCCGUGGCCUUGCGAUACCACCAACGCGGCAGCAAUGGAGAACCGUUGAAUCGCUAGCGUGGAACAGCUAGCUUCACUUGGGGAGCUGGCCUGAAGGCUUUGAAUACCAAGCCCCGGGGCCAGGAUGUCUUCACGUGUCUGUUUACUGAACAUUGGAACUUUUACUACAGCUGGGAAAUUCCAGCAAAACAGGAACUUUGCCCGUGUUCACAGCUUUGACUCCAGCAACCUCGCAGAUGCUUUAUAUUUGUUACAGGAAUAUUGAGCUCUUCCAGGGACAGCGAUUGUACUUUGCUCAUUUCCAACACUUACUAUAGUGUUGGAUGAUCACAAAGGUUUCACUAUUUGUUCAGGGCUCUCUAUUACAGGCUUCCUAGAAUGCAGAGCUUAAUUCUGUAUAUACCCUUCCCCAAAUCAGGGGAAAUAGGAAGUCAGGAAGCUGCAUGUAGGUAAUACCAUGUUUUACCAAGAGCAGAUAUUAGAUCCAAAGCUUCUAUAGAAUUGAAAAUUCUGUAUAUGGAAAAGAUGGGAGAGAGGAUCGGGCCCCAGAUAAGAGGGGCAGGAUAGAUGUGGUCAGUACCAUGGAGAGGCCAGGUUGGAUCCUAGGCAGAGACUGAACCCUGGCAUAGAAGAGGAAAAGUUUCCCCUUUUCCCCCUUUCCUACUUAAAAGCCAGACACCAGCACCCUCCUUCAGCACCCUUUCAAAAGUGGGUCCUAGGAUAUUCUUGGUCCCCAGGAGGUGGUAAAGAUACAGUGACACCAGAAGGCAGCUAUAGAUUUCUUAAACUUUAUUUCCUCUGAGUCUCUGGGGAGGCAGCAGGGAUGUAAGGCGAAGUGGCAGUAGCUGCAGGGGACUGAGCAGAGCUGGUGCUGGGAGGGGCCGGCAUUGGGCAGGACAAAGAGGAGAUUUAAAUAUCCAGGAUUGAAAACUAAUGGGUCUCCUUCAUCUGUCUUUGGAUUUUGUGCAGCAUCUCCUGCAUCCGCCGCAGCUGGAACAGGCACACAUAGCAAAAUGGGGCCUUUUAGAGAGUCCUACAGUGUUAGGGGAGUGCCCCCAAACUCUUAUCCCUUAGCCUGGGCAUGGGCAUGGUAGUCCAGAUAUGUGAUGGAGACCCAGGUAGAACAAUCAAUCCACCAAUCCAGGACCCAGGAAGGUACCAGGGCCAGGGAUCUUCCUAUUCCCAAACCAAGAAAUACUGAACGUUUAUAAUUAAGCAGGGACCCUCCAUACUGUCAAUCCCUACCACCCCAUACUGCUCUCACCUCCUCAUCUUUCUCUCGGAUCAGCCUCUCUGUUUCUGGAUCUGUCCCUGGUGGGACAGCAGGGAUGGGGAAGUCAGUACCACUCUCUCGAGUCAGUUUGCUAAAGGGAAUGGGAAAGGGGGCUUGGUAAGGCUAGGGGGACCCUGGCACCUGCUUGGAUUGAGUCCAGGGCCUGUAGAAGAACAAAGGAAGGGCUUUCUCUCAUCCAAGGCUGUGCUUGGGACCCCCUCCCGGCCAGCUCUGUCCUGGCUGCUAGCCAUACUUGCGAUUCCUUUCUUUCACCACCAGGCGAGUCAUGCUCUGGAUGCACUGUGCCCGAUAGUUCUCAUAAUGUGUCUCCCGCGUCACAUCCUUCAGGUCCUGCAUAUGAGUACGCACCAGCAUUGUCCUCAGCUUCACAAAGUCGCAGUGUCCUGGGUUUUCCACUGCAUGGCAAGGCUAGGGGUCAGCCAGAAGCAUGGGGAGAGCCACUGAGGGCAAGGAGACUCCCUGGUCGCAAGCUCAGUGCUUUACCUUCCACGAUGCCCCAGGGGUAGAGCCGGCCCCGAACACGCCGCCCUCUGGCCUCUACCACAGUGUUGCUGCCAAUUACAGCAAAUGGGAUGCUUUCCUGGAAGAAGUGGGGGGAGGGCCUGUCAGUACCCCCCAUUCUUACCUGUUCCUUUCCAUCUUUAUUUUCUCUGCUUCACUCUAGGAAACCAGGUUCCUCUCCCACCCCUUAAAUCGAAUUCGACUUCCCUCUUCUGCCCAGAAGAAACAAAAUGGAAAAGGGAUGCCCUGGGCUGGCCCCACCUUUAGGGCUUGGUCCUGUAAUUUGAAGUCCUCAUCCUCAUCAGAGUCACAGUCGGGGAACUGAUAGACCUUGAUUCCAAACCGCUCAAUCUCCUCUCGGAUCUGACAAACACAUGAGGGGCCCACAGUUUUGGCGACCCCAUCCUUUCCAGAAGCCCACCUGCUCCCCUCCCCCCACCAGCUUCCCUCACUUUGCGUUUCUUGCGCUCUACUUCAGGAGGUGUCAGUGUGUCCGCCUUAGCCAAGAUAGGCACGAUGUUAACCCGCUGAUGCAGGGCCUUCAUGAAUUCAACAUCCAGUGGCCGGAGCCUGGGGAACAGGAAUCUGUGACCACCUGCUGGUGGCAGCCCUGCCCUGGUGCUCUCAGCCUGUUCCCUUUGCAGCACCUGGUGGUGUCAGGAGCCUCAGGCUCGGACCAUACCCGUGGCCGAAGGGUGAGAUGAAGUACAGGCAGCAGUGCACCCUGUUGUCUUGGAUGUUCUUGCGGUUCAGGCCACUCUCGUCUCGGAAAUACUGCUCAAACUGCUGGUCGAUGUAUUCUGCCACAGGCUUCCAGCUGCGGCAGGGACAGAAAAGCAGAGAAACUGUGGGAGUGGGGGCUGCCUCAUGAGCUCUGGGGCUACAGAGUAGCCCACGCCCUAAGCAGUGUUCCCAAGACUUUGUUAUUCCCUGGCUUGCUUUACUACAUCUGCAGGGUGGUACCUGGGUGGGACGGGUGUAUCUCACUUGCCCCACUAGAAAAUCAGACUGAGCACAAAGUUCAAUAAAUACUAGUUUGAUGAGAGGAAAAGGCCUAGGUGACCAAACAAACCAAUAAGAAUAAGGUACCUGCAAGUGAACACCAACUGGAAGCCAGGGCAGCCCUUAGUCAGGUUCAUAGUCCAGCCUCAGAACCUUUGUUCAUGGGUCCUACCCUCUGCUCCACCCCUCUGAACCACCCUAUCCUCCUCAAGGCCAUAUCUAAGAACUAUCUCUUCACUCCUUCCAGUGUACAUCAAUAUACACUGACUGCUCUCCCCUUCUCUCCACCACACAGUCAAAUCGUGUACAUAUAUAUUCAAGAACUCCCAAUUUUCAAGUCUUUUUGCUUUUCUGUUACUUAGUUUCAUCCUCACUGAUAGGUGCCCUGAUAGGUGGACACAUAAGCAUCAUCACUUUCACUUCAUACACGAAGGAACUAAAUCUAUAGCAUCUAGGAGACAAUCCAUAUCAUUUUAGCGAGCUAAUUCUCCCCACUCAAGCCCUUGGCCUCUGACUCUUCAACAUGCUUGCUGCUACAUUACCUGACCUAUUUACUAACUUAAGUUGAUUGACCCACAUGUAAGAGAACUGCUGCCCCCACUCCUCCUACCCCUACUACUAGACCAUAAGCCUCUCAGUGACAAGGAUGAUUCAUACUUAUUCUGUGUCCCUUAAAAUGCCCAGCACUGGCUGGACACCUAGUAUAUGCUCAAUAAACUCCUACUGGUUACUAAAUAA